Molecule: RNA transcript, 2000 nt
Organism: Quercus robur (English oak)
Lineage: Eukaryota; Viridiplantae; Streptophyta; Magnoliopsida; Fagales; Fagaceae
Gene name: methionine--tRNA ligase, chloroplastic/mitochondrial-like
Exons: 4
Source: RefSeq, a predicted model, not a curated record
UUUUUGUUCUUUUUUUAUGGAAUUAUUUUUGUUCUUAAACUUUGCAUUAAAUUAGUUUUUCUUUUAUUUUUUAGUCUCUAAAAGUUUUACCACUACGAAAAAAAAAAAAACCUGACUUAUUUUGAUUCAAUUUUUUCCGGGUUCACUUGAAACUUGAAAGGGUCAAAAUAAACAAAGUAAAAAUAGAUCUCCGACGACGAGCUGAGGCACGGUGGUCAGCGAUCUCAUCUCCGCCGCUUCUUCGUCUGAUUACAGAGGCUGUUAAGGAAGAAUGUUGUAUUUAUUAGCAGGACGGAUGAGCACGGGGAGAAAAUUGCUACUGCUGCUGCAGCCCGGGGUUCUGAUCCAAGUGAACAUUGCGAUGUCAUUUCACAAGCAUAGAAGACACUCUGGAAAGAUAUAAUAAUAACCCAAGAUAGAAAUGCACUCUAAGUUUACUUUAGCCUGACUUGUUGAAUGUUCCGAUUGUUGUGCAUAUUUUCCAUUUUUUUAUGAUCUCCUUUGUUUUGUUGUUUAAGUUCUGCCUGCAGUUAGACAUAUCUUAUGAUAAGUUCAUUUGGACAACUGAUCCCAAGCAUGAAGCAAUUGUGAAGGAAUUUUCUCAAGGGUUCUUGUCAAUGGUGAUAUAUUUUGGCUGACUAUGAAGGACUUUAUCGUGUCAACUGUGAGGAAUAUAACGUGUUUUUUUUGCAUUUGAACUUGUAAAUGUGGAUGUAGCAACAUUAUCUUAAUUUAAUUUCCCUUAUCUGCUUAUCGAUUUUUUGUUCACAUACUUUUUGAUUGAUUAUGGGGUAAUUGCAUUAUCUAUAGUUGAGAAUUUUAUAAAAACUAGGUGUUUUUUUUUUUUUUUUUUUGGUGGGUGCUAGUAUUUGUGUAAAAUUUUCUUUUUAUAUUUACAAGAACUUGUUGAUAUUACUCAUUAAGUGGAAUUCCUUUUUUAUUUUAUAUAGUUUCUUGCUGAUUUCCAUUUUCAUAUAUGCACUGUCUUGUUUGAACGGAUGUGUUUAUGUAUUUGUUGUGGUCGUUCUGUUUGAGAGAGGUUUUGUAUUUAUGUAACAAAAUAGUGUAAUGUCUUUUGCUGUGUGUCUGCAGGAUGAGUAUGAAUUGCUUGAUAACAACAUUUGCCCUAUGCACCUGAUGCCGUGUGUUCUGUGGAUAGAGGAUAAUUACUAUUAUUUCUUUGUGCUAUCAAAAUAUCAAAAAAAUUAUUGGAAGAAACUUUGACACAAACUCUAAAUUUUUUGCGGCCUCUGUUCUGGUUAAAUGAGAUGAGAUAGUCGGUAAUUUUGUAAAAACUUAGUCUAGCGUGUCCUAAAUAGUUGUCCCUGAGGUUUACUGUAAACGGAUUUCUCUUGGCAGCUGCUUCCAGCAUGAUUAGUUUCCUGCUAAGAGCCUGAGCAUGUUGAUUUUGAAUGUUGUAAGCUUAAUAAUUGGCAUAUUGUGUAUAUGCUAUUGUAGUAAAUCUGUAUUAGCUAUUGCUAUAGUUAUAGAUACAUGACGGAAUGCAUUUGAUAGUACCUUUUUUAAAAGUAAUUAUGCCAUGAUUGCUAAUAUAUUCCUUAAAAAGUUGUUGCGCUGAACCAACAAUACUUUAAAUAUGGCUUUUGGGUAUAGCUUUGUUGGUGACAUGCCUUGUAUUGUUAAUGCUUCUGCUACUGUAUGUUGAUCAUGCCUGGCAGGGGAAUCAUUUUUUAUGACUUUUAAUCUAAAGCUAUCUCUGCAUCUCUGUCCCCAUAGCAAUUUACUAAUAAAAUGUUAGGAACGCCCUUUCUAUAUCUUCCUAUUCUAUUAGUCACUUCCAUAGUCUUUACGCUUCAAGGUGCAAAGCUGGAUCAAAGGUGGCCUAAGAGAUUUUUACCAUUUCCUGAGCAUCAAUGGAUUGGUGCAUCCCAGUUACUUUGACAAGAAGCAAACUAUAUAUGUGUGGUUUGAUGCAUUACUAGGCACUAUCAGAGGAAGCAGGGCAAGCUAAUCUACAAAGUGCUGUUUCUUCAGGUUGG